This 3217-nucleotide ribosomal RNA is filed under the name Triticum aestivum (bread wheat). Its description in RNAcentral is "partial small subunit ribosomal RNA". Lineage: Eukaryota; Viridiplantae; Streptophyta; Magnoliopsida; Poales; Poaceae. The record is from RNAcentral.
CCUCCUCCGCAUCUCGCCACCAACCUCCCACCCGAUCCCCAACCCCAUGAUCCGCAGGAGGCGCGGGCACGCCGCCUAGGGUUUCCACUCCCCUUCCCCCCGAUGGAGUCGCUGCCGCGGAAGCGCAAGGGCGCGCGCUCCCUCGCCGGCUCCCUCCACGACGCCUCCGCGGACCGCAAGCGGACCUGCCGGGAGCGGAAGCCGCGCCCCGACAAGAAGAAAAAGAAGCCCUCCGCCGCCGGCGAUGACGCCGCCACCGCCUCCGGCCGGGGCGGCGUGGUCAUGACGGCGCCGCCGGCCAGCGGCCGGGCCACCCCGGACAGCCCCGGCCGGGGCCUCAAGCGCAAGGUCGGCUGCAUCGAGUCCGCCACGCGCAUAGGCCGCAAGAAGCGCCUCGAGACCGAGUACGAGCUCGGCGACGAGAUCGGCCAGGGCAAGUUCGGCUCCGUCCGGAUCUGCCGCGCCAAGGCCGGCGGCGAGGAGUUCGCCUGCAAGGCGCUCCCCAAGAACGGCGAGGAGACGGUCCACCGCGAGGUCGAGAUCAUGCAGCACCUCUCCGGCCACCCCGGCGUCGUCACGCUCAAGGCCGUCUUCGAGGACGCCGACAAGUUCUACCUCGUCAUGGAGCUCUGCAGCGGCGGCCGCUUGCUCGACGAGAUGGCCAGGGACGGCACCUUCUCCGAGCAGCGAGCCGCCCUCGUCAUCAAGGAUCUAAUGUCGGUCGUCAAGUACUGCCACGAAAUGGGCGUCAUCCACAGGGACAUUAAGCCGGAGAAUAUUUUGCUCACCAAGACUGGCAAGAUGAAACUAGCUGAUUUUGGAUUGGCAGCACGAGUUACUAACGGUAAAUUCUUGCUGAUAUUUCACUUUGAAGCUCUACUAGAUGAUAAAUAAGUUGGGUUCCUGGGGGUACUCUAUGUUUACACAAGUUGCAAUUUUGAUUUGCUUUAUAUGACAAAAAAGACAUCAAUUAGAAGUAGUAGAAGAUCGACUGGACCAUACAAGGUUUUAUAAUCUUUAAUGAUUAGUAUGGUGUUACAACAUUUAGAAUUGAUGGUUGUACAUAGUUGAUCUGCGAUGCGAGUAAUUUGCCAUGUUAACUGGAUUACGGCGGGUUUCAGGUUUCAAUCACACAGCAUUUUUACAGGUUGCUCAUCUUUGUGACCAUGCAUAUCAUCUAAUCUAAUGUGUUAAACUUCUAAACAAGUCAGUUGGAUAGCUUUUGAUUUUUGAGUCAGAAAGUUGGUAGGAAAUUUAUUCAUGUGUCUUCUCCUCUUGCCUGAUAUGCUUAGAGAAUGGGGGUGAUUUGAAUGGAGUCUCAAAGUCAGAGCGCCUAUGCCUGGAAACUCUUUGUGCAUUCACCUGCAAGUAUCUAUAUGUAUAGUGUGAGACCCAAUAUAGCACUCUUAAAGUACUGAGCAUUUCAGACCAUUUCAUGUUUCAUACUUACACAGUCGAUACUGAUUGUAUUCACUGAAUUGGGCCACUUGGUUAUGAUGGUUGUGUAACUAAUAAGAUAGUACCAGUUCUGCAUCAAGAGUUAGGCGCUCUCAUUUCUUAAGUCAUUGCGGAGUCGGAAGUGGUGAAUGUUUCGCUCAGAUUCUUGUUUAAAUGAUGAUUUCUACAUGCCGAUUCAGUGUUUUGCAUGGUAUUGCGAAUGAAGAAAUGUUCUGUGUCGUCCCAUUAAUAUGUUAAGGUUUUUUUAGUCAUGAAUUGGUAGCAUGUGGUGCCUUCAUUGGUACUAAUAUUUUGCUAGAUAUCCAAGGUAAUUGAGGCAUUGCGCUAAUUGAUAGUUGGUUUCAUUCUACUUAUGGUGGUACUGAUACUAAUUUUCUUAUUUGCGUGGAAUUUGGAUGUUAAGAAUCUACACUGAUCAAUUUAAUCCUUGUAUUGAUAUUAAUUUAUGGCAUGCUCCUGCAAGUACCUGUUGUGAUAAGUCUGAGGGCCAGAAUAGUCUUCUUGAGCAUACCAAACAGGCUGUGUAAUAUUUUGAAUAUGGUCUUGAGUCAUUUUGAUGAAUUAGGAAGUGGUGUGAUGUCUGUCUGAAUGGAGUCAUAUAGUCUAUGAGUUGGAGUUGUCAGCAUGGCUUCAGGGGCACUGGUUCUUAUAAACAGCUGCUUAUAUUUUGUAAGGUCAGAAAUUGUCUGGCGUUGCUGGGAGCCCAGCCUAUGUGGCGCCUGAGGUGUUGUCAGGAAGCUAUUCUGAGAAAGUAGACAUAUGGGGUGCUGGGGUGCUCCUCCAUGUACUACUGCUUGGUUCACUUCCAUUUCAAGGGGGCUCUCUGGAAGCUGUCUUUGAAGCUAUAAAGACAGUUGAGCUUGAUUUCAACAGCGGUCCAUGGGAAUCAAUGUCAGUUCUUGGACGGGAUCUUAUAAGUCGAAUGUUGGAUCGAGAUGUCUCUUCUAGAAUGACUGCUGAUCAAGUUCUUUGUCAUCCAUGGGUGUUGUUUUACACGGAAUGUACCCUGAAGGCUGUAACUCCUAAUGUCACUAACCAGAUUGUAGCACCCAAAAUUCCAUGGGACAGAAUUAGAUCACAUUCUGAGUCGUCAGCUUCAGAUUCGUCGAGCCAGAGGUCGGAGGACCAGGAUGAAUGUGGCAUAGUCGACGCACUGACUGCGGCAAUAACACAUGUUAGAAUAUCGGAGCCGAAAAGAACCCGGCUUUGCAGCCCUGGCAUUCCCAUACAGCAGGAAUGCUCCUCAAACUUAAAGAGCAACCUGUGCACGGCGUUCUGACAUGACCCCAAUGUAUAGCUCCUUGUGUGUUGGUCUGAUGUCAGUGAUGGCUCAGCCUGCUGGUUGUCUCUGCUGAGGAUAAUAACUCGGGUUUUCCUGUCAGAGCAAGCAAGCGUUUGACAUGGUGAUGCUGUAGAUUGCGGUGAUGGCUGAUGAACCCGACAUGGUAGCUGAUGCUGUAAAUUUUGUAAAUAGAAUGAUCCAUGUAGCUAAUUUAUAUCUUGACAGAGUUCAGAAUAAUUUCAGUCUAUGAUGGUAAACAUAGUGUGCGACAUCAUCCUUGUUCCAUUCUUUGUUUCUUCCGGUUCCUCCUAGUAUUGAGAUCAGAUUUUUGCAUGGAUUUCUUGCACUCGGAUCAUUUUUUUGUUACUAGAUCUUUUUCACCCUGAAUGUAUUUUCCAGAAGCUGUACUCUUAAUCUGAUUUUGUGACUCAGAUAUAACACCAGAGAAAAACAAUAUGGUGGAGGAAAGAGAAAAAA